Molecule: ribosomal RNA, 57 nt
Filed under: Chromera velia
Lineage: Eukaryota; Chromeraceae
Description: large subunit ribosomal RNA fragment rns7
Source: RNAcentral
AUUUACAGCUACAAGUUCACAGUCAACUACCGUACAACGACUUCGAUUCAUAACCAC